This 498-nucleotide ribosomal RNA is filed under the name uncultured bacterium. RNAcentral's name for it is "partial 16S ribosomal RNA". It matches the Rfam family "Bacterial small subunit ribosomal RNA", at positions 28 to 523 of the family's 1533-position model. The record is from RNAcentral.
GAUGAACGCUAGCGGCAGGCCUAAGACAUGCAAGUCGAGGGAGAAUGUUGGAUUCGUCUGACAUGAAACCGGCGCACGGGUGCGUAACACGUAUGCAACCUACCUUUAACUGGGGUAUAGCUCAGAGAAAUCUGAAUUAAUCCCCCAUAAGACUACGACAUGGCAUCAUGAUGUAGUUAAAGCUCCGGCGGUUAAGGAUGGGCAUGCGGUACAUUAGCUAGUUGGUGAGGUAAUGGCUCACCAAGGCUACGAUGUAUAGGGGGUCUGAGAGGAUGAUCCCCCAAACUGGUACUGAGACACGGACCAGACUCCUACGGGAGGCAGCAGUAGGGAAUAUUGGUCAAUGGACGCAAGUCUGAACCAGCCAUGCCGCGUGAAGGAUGAAGGCCCUAUGGGUCGUAAACUUCUUUUAUUAGGGAAGAAAAAACGGGAUGCGUCCUGUACUGACGGUACUUAAUGAAUAAGGAUCGGCUAACUUCGUGCCAGCCGCCGCGGUAA